RNAcentral lists this ribosomal RNA (400 nucleotides) under uncultured bacterium. RNAcentral describes it as "bacterial SSU rRNA". It matches the Rfam family "Bacterial small subunit ribosomal RNA", at positions 355 to 752 of the family's 1533-position model. The record is from RNAcentral.
UGAGGAAUAUUGGUCAAUGGGCGCAAGCCUGAACCAGCCAUCCCGCGUGAAGGAAGACGGCCCUAUGGGUUGUAAACUUCUUUUGUACAUGAAGAACGUCUCUUACGUGUAAGAGAGUGACGGUAAUGUACGAAUAAGCAUCGGCUAACUCCGUGCCAGCAGCCGCGGUAAUACGGAGGAUGCAAGCGUUAUCCGGAUUUAUUGGGUUUAAAGGGUACGUAGGUGGCCAGUUAAGUCAGUGGUGAAAACCUGUCGCUCAACGAUAGGCGUGCCAUUGAAACUGAUUGGCUUGAGUACAGAUGAGGUAAGCGGAAUGUGUAGUGUAGCGGUGAAAUGCAUAGAUAUUACACAGAACUCCGAUUGCGAAGGCAGCUUACUAAACUGACACUGACGCUGAGGU